UUGGUCUUCUUUUGAAUUUUUUAUUUUUUUUCUCUUGAGACUGGGUUUUUUACUUGUCUCCUUCCUUUUCUCGAGAUUUUCAAAAUUUUUUUCUUUUUCUCAUUUUUUUCAAGAUUCUACAUACACAUCAAACUAAACAAGGUAGACUAUCUAAUCAUGCAUUCUUUAAACUUUAACAACUCUGACGGCUAGACUCGACCGAGUUACAGCCACUAAUGUACACAUGAUCAAAUGAAGGUUUAAAAGAAAGGGGAUAUG
This 258-nucleotide long non-coding RNA is filed under the name Linum usitatissimum (flax). Its description in RNAcentral is "long non-coding RNA (LUSI_LNC007737)". The record is from RNAcentral. Lineage: Eukaryota; Viridiplantae; Streptophyta; Magnoliopsida; Malpighiales; Linaceae.